This 67-nucleotide transfer RNA is filed under the name Smaragdina rufimana. RNAcentral describes it as "tRNA-Ser". Lineage: Eukaryota; Metazoa; Arthropoda; Insecta; Coleoptera; Chrysomelidae. The record is from RNAcentral.
GAAACGGGACAUUCAAGUAAAAGCUUCUAACUUUUAACUUAAGCGAUGAAACUUCGUUUACGUUUCU